This 253-nucleotide ribosomal RNA is filed under the name uncultured bacterium. RNAcentral describes it as "partial 16S ribosomal RNA". It matches the Rfam family "Bacterial small subunit ribosomal RNA", at positions 524 to 776 of the family's 1533-position model. The record is from RNAcentral.
UACGUAGGUGGCGAACGUUAUCCGGAGUGACUGGGUGUAAAGGGUCCGUAGGCGGGGCCGCAAGUCUGACGUGAAAGCGCCCGGCUCAACUGGGCGAGUGCGUUGGAAACUGCGGCUCUUGAAUCACGCAGAGGUCGGCGGAAUUCCCGGUGUAGUGGUGGAAUGCGUAGAGAUCGGGAGGAACCUCGAAAGCGAAGGCAGCCGACUGGGGGAUGAUUGACGCUGGGGGACGAAAGCGUGGGGAGCGAACAGG